GACGAACGCUGGCGGCGUGCUUAACACAUGCAAGUCGAACGGAAAGGCCCUGCUUUUGUGGGGUGCUCGAGUGGCGAACGGGUGAGUAACACGUGAGUAACCUGCCCUUGACUUUGGGAUAACUUCAGGAAACUGGGGCUAAUACCGGAUAGGAGCUCCUGCUGCAUGGUGGGGGUUGGAAAGUUUCGGCGGUUGGGGAUGGACUCGCGGCUUAUCAGCUUGUUGGUGGGGUAGUGGCUUACCAAGGCUUUGACGGGUAGCCGGCCUGAGAGGGUGACCGGCCAGAUUGGGACUGAGAUAGGGCCCAGCCUCCUACGGGGGGAGGCAGGGGGGAAUAUGGCACAAGGGGGGGAGGCCUGAGGCAGCCGCGCCGCGUGCGGGAUGACGGCCUUGGGUUUGUAAACCGCUUUCGCUUGUGACGAAGCGUGAGGGAGGGUAAUGGGUAAAGAAGCACGGGCAAACUACGUC
RNAcentral lists this ribosomal RNA (468 nucleotides) under uncultured bacterium. RNAcentral describes it as "partial 16S ribosomal RNA". It matches the Rfam family "Bacterial small subunit ribosomal RNA", at positions 28 to 507 of the family's 1533-position model. The record is from RNAcentral.